RNAcentral lists this transfer RNA (97 nucleotides) under Maritimibacter sp. Its description in RNAcentral is "tRNA-Ser". The stretch from base 1 to 85 matches the Rfam family "tRNA". From Rfam's summary of the family: Transfer RNA (tRNA) molecules are approximately 80 nucleotides in length. The record is from RNAcentral. Lineage: Bacteria; Pseudomonadati; Pseudomonadota; Alphaproteobacteria; Rhodobacterales; Roseobacteraceae.
GGAGAGGUGGCCGAGUGGUCGAAGGCGCACGCCUGGAAAGUGUGUAGGCGGGAAACCGUCUCCAGGGUUCGAAUCCCUGUNNCCUGUCUCUCCGCCA